RNAcentral lists this non-coding RNA (182 nucleotides) under Asaccharospora irregularis DSM 2635. RNAcentral's name for it is "6S / SsrS RNA". It matches the Rfam family "6S / SsrS RNA". Rfam says of the family: E. coli 6S RNA was the first non coding RNA to be sequenced, but its function was unknown until recently. It consists of 184 nucleotides that fold into an extended hairpin structure with a large single-stranded internal bulge. The 6S RNA specifically associates with RNA polymerase holoenzyme containing the sigma70 specificity factor. Lineage: Bacteria; Bacillati; Bacillota; Clostridia; Peptostreptococcales; Peptostreptococcaceae. The record is from Rfam by way of RNAcentral.
GAAAUCCUGAAGCAUGCGAUGAAGCUUGUUUAAAUUCAACCGACAAAUGUUAUACGGGAGAUUGUGUUUAGUGGAUUAUAACAUGCCUACUUUGUUAGGACGUUAAAAACUACUAACAGAUCACCCACCUGGGAGUAUCUCGGGUAUGAAUUUAUACAGCUCAACGGUGUUUCGGGAUAUUU